Long non-coding RNA from Mustela lutreola (European mink), 1793 nucleotides. RefSeq lists it as uncharacterized. The record is from RefSeq and is a predicted model, not a curated record. The transcript is spliced from 5 exons. Lineage: Eukaryota; Metazoa; Chordata; Mammalia; Carnivora; Mustelidae.
CCCGGCGUGCCACGUGACCAACCAGGCAAGUCACGUGAGGAGGAGCCCGCAGGCGCCGGGCGUGGGGAGGGAGGGGCUCGUCGGCCUGGUUACCCUGGCUAUGGGCUGCUGGGUGCGGAGGCUAGCAGCUCGCGGGGUUUUCCCGCAGAUGGCUUAGUUUCGGGUGCUGGCCUGGACGGGGUCGUGAGCCCCCUCUUACCAUGUCUGGCUGGCGGCGACCCAGAUGCCACGUGAUGGUCAUUUGAAGACAGGCCUGUCGGAUAUCAGGAAUCCCAAGGUCCAGAUGCCUGCCUUCAGGGACCUGGGCUUUCGGCUCUCAUACCUGGCCCUGGUUGAUGGCCCCGUGCUGAGCAGUGCAUGUGAAGACACACAUGUGCGCAUGGGCUGGAGUUUCUGUGCAGCGUGUGCCUAGAAUUGGAUUCUCCAGUUCGUGGGCUGUGAGCAAAUCCCACUUUGUUAGAAGAUGCUCCUGACUUUCCGAAGUGGCCGACGGAAGCCAGGCUGUCGUAGGAGGCUCCGUGCCCAGUGUGGAGCCCAAUGCGGGGCUUGAACUCACGAUCCUGAGACAAGACCUGAGCUGAGAUCAAGAGCUGGGCGAUUAACUGACUGAGCCACCCAGGUGCCCCCUGUUCUGUCUAGUUAUUAUGAGGUUGUCUCUUACUUGUUGAUUACUAGAGUUCUUGUUGUGUUCUAGGUACUCGCACUUUUGGGGGGUUACGUGAGCUACAGAUAUCCUGUUCUGCAUCAUGCUCUUAGAGUUUGCUCUAUGAGACUUGCACGAGAAACUUUUUAACUGUCAUUUCAAGCAGACAUAAAACACAGAAAACACAAUAAACCCCUCCACUCCCGUCACCCAUUUCAACAAUUGUGUAAUGUUGUGUGAUGAGCAGAACUUCUUAAUUUUUGUUUCAGCCGCUCUGUGAACCCCUUUAUUCAGGGUUAGUACUGUCUGCCUCUUGUUUAAGAUGAGGGCUUGAAGGUAUUCUUCUACGUUUUCUUUUGAAAGAUUUUAAUAUUAUCUUUUACAUUUAGGCCUUGAAGCUUAAAGCUACUUGAAGCUGAUUUAUGUACAAUAAGGGAAAAGACUCCUUUUUUCCCAUAUGGAGACCUCGCUGUCCCAGCACCCUUUCUGAAGGAGCCCGUCCUUCCCCACCUAACCUAGGUCAGCACUUCUGUUAAAAAAUCACAGACAUGGGGUGUCGGGGUGGUUCAGUGGGUUAAGCGUCUGCCUUCAGCACUGGUCAUGAUCCCGGGGUCCUGGGAUUGAGUCCCAUGUCCGGCUCCCUGCUCGGCAAGGAGCCUGCUUCUCCCUUUGCCCCCUUCCCUGCUUGUGUGUGCUUUCACUCUCUUUCUCUCUCUCUCUCUCUGUGGAAACAAAUAAAUAAAAUCUUUUUUAAAAAACGGCAGAUAUGCCUGGGUCUGUUUCUGGGCUCUUCUUUCCACACCAGUGGCUCUCAUGCUAGAACCAAGGUGUCUUCGUAAGCAGGCUGUUGGUGUCUGGCUUGAUUACUGGUCAUAGUCAUAACAUGGCUUGCCUGAUUGCCAUCUCUUGUUGGGACUUGAUUUAUUGUCCAGUAUAGGACAUUUCUGUAAAGGUCCUGUGUGUUCCUGAAAAGAGGAUGUGUUAUGCAGUGUUGGGUGUGUUGUUCUACAAGUUGCCUACCUGGCCAAGUUCAAGUGUUGUUCAAACAUACACUUUAUUUUUCCAGUUGAUUCUUUUUUUUUCUUCAGUUGUGAUUCUAUAUUCUUAUUGAUUUUUCAUCUGUUUGUUCUAUCAACGACCAAGAGAGAUG